UACGGGGGGGGCAAGCGUUGUUCGGAAUUACUGGGCGUAAAGGGCUCGUAGGUGGCCAACUAAGUCGGACGUGAAAUCCCUCAGCUUAACUGGGGAACUGCGUCCGAUACUGGAUGGCUUGAGUUUGGGAGAGGGAUGCGGAAUUCCAGGUGUAGCGGUGAAAUGCGUAGAUAUCUGGAGGAACACCGGUGGCGAAGGCGGCAUCCUGGACCGGCAUUGACGCUGAGGCGCGAAAGCCAGGGGAGCAGACGGG
This 253-nucleotide ribosomal RNA is filed under the name uncultured bacterium. RNAcentral's name for it is "partial 16S ribosomal RNA". It matches the Rfam family "Bacterial small subunit ribosomal RNA", at positions 524 to 776 of the family's 1533-position model. The record is from RNAcentral.